This 22-nucleotide microRNA is filed under the name Sarcophilus harrisii (Tasmanian devil). Its description in RNAcentral is "Sha-Mir-7373-o6_3p (mature (guide))". Lineage: Eukaryota; Metazoa; Chordata; Mammalia; Dasyuromorphia; Dasyuridae. The record is from RNAcentral.
UGUUAGAGGGGGAAGGAAUAGC